AUAUUAUUAGUAUAACUAGUAUGUAGGUCUUCCAAACUUAAGGUCCAAAAAUAUUUGGAUAAUAUA
Molecule: transfer RNA, 66 nt
Filed under: Sinonovacula constricta (Chinese razor clam)
Lineage: Eukaryota; Metazoa; Mollusca; Bivalvia; Cardiida; Solecurtidae
Description: tRNA-Gly
Source: RNAcentral